GCACAAGCGGUGGAGCAUGUGGUUUAAUUCGACGCAACGCGAAGAACCUUACCAGGGCUUGACAUCCCCUGACCGCGUAUGAAAGUACGUUUUCACCUUCGGGAGACAGGGAGACAGGUGUGCAUGGUUGUCGUCAGCUCGUGUCGUGAGAUGUUGGGUUAAGUCCCGCAACGAGCGCAACCCCUACGUUUAGUUGCUAACGCGUGAAGGCGAGCACUCUAGACGAACUGCCGUUGACAAAACGGAGGAAGGUGGGGAUGACGUCAAAUCAUCAUGCCCCUUAUGUUCUGGGCUACACACGUGCUACAAUGGCCGGUACAGACGGACGCAAAGCCGCGAGGCGGAGCAAAUCCGAAGAAGCCGGUCUCAGUUCGGAUUGCAGGCUGCAAUUCGCCUGCAUGAAGUCGGAAUCGCUAGUAAUCGCAGGUCAGCAUACUGCGGUCGAAUACGUUCCCGGGCCUU
This 462-nucleotide ribosomal RNA is filed under the name uncultured Pelotomaculum sp. RNAcentral's name for it is "bacterial SSU rRNA". It matches the Rfam family "Bacterial small subunit ribosomal RNA", at positions 923 to 1382 of the family's 1533-position model. The record is from RNAcentral. Lineage: Bacteria; Bacillati; Bacillota; Clostridia; Eubacteriales; Desulfotomaculaceae.